UACGGGAGGCAGCAGUGGGGAAUAUUGCACAAUGGGCGCAAGCCUGAUGCAGCCAUGCCGCGUGUAUGAAGAAGGCCUUCGGGUUGUAAAGUACUUUCAGUCGUGAGGAAGGUGUUAAGGUUAAUAACCUUAGCAAUUGACGUUAGCGACAGAAGAAGCACCGGCUAACUCCGUGCCAGCAGCCGCGGUAAUACGGAGGGAGCUAGCGUUGUUCGGAAUUACUGGGCGUAAAGCGCACGUAGGCGGCUAUUCAAGUCAGAGGUGAAAGCCCGGGGCUCAACCCCGGAACUGCCUUUGAAACUGAUAGCUUGAAUCCAGGAGAGGUGAGUGGAAUUCCGAGUGUAGAGGUGAAAUUCGUAGAUAUUCGGAAGAACACCAGUGGCGAAGGCGGCUCACUGGGACUGGUAUUGACGCUGAGGUGCGAAAGCGUGGGGAGCGAAACAGGGAUUAGGAUAC
Molecule: ribosomal RNA, 456 nt
Filed under: uncultured bacterium
Lineage: Bacteria
Description: bacterial SSU rRNA
Rfam family: Bacterial small subunit ribosomal RNA
Source: RNAcentral